UACGUAGGGUCCGAGCGUUGUCCGGAAUUAUUGGGCGUAAAGGGCUCGUAGGCGGUUUGUCGCGUCGGGAGUGAAAACACGGGGCUUAACCCCGUGCCUGCUUCCGAUACGGGCAGACUAGAGGUAUGCAGGGGAGAACGGAAUUCCUGGUGUAGCGGUGAAAAUGCGCAGAUAUCAGGAGGAACACCGGUGGCGAAGGCGGGUCUCUGGGCCGAUACUGACGCUGAGGAGCGAAAGCGUGGGGAGCGAACAGG
RNAcentral lists this ribosomal RNA (254 nucleotides) under uncultured bacterium. RNAcentral describes it as "partial 16S ribosomal RNA". It matches the Rfam family "Bacterial small subunit ribosomal RNA", at positions 524 to 776 of the family's 1533-position model. The record is from RNAcentral.